UUUAUGGAGAGUUUGAUCCUGGCUCAGGAUGAACGCUGGCGGCGUGCCUAAUACAUGCAAGUCGAGCGAACGGACGAGAAGCUUGCUUCUCUGAUGUUAGCGGCGGACGGGUGAGUAACACGUGGAUAACCUACCUAUAAGACUGGGAUAACUUCGGGAAACCGGAGCUAAUACCGGAUAAUAUUUUGAACCGCAUGGUUCAAAAGUGAAAGACGGUCUUGCUGUCACUUAUAGAUGGAUCCGCGCUGCAUUAGCUAGUUGGUAAGGUAACGGCUUACCAAGGCAACGAUGCAUAGCCGACCUGAGAGGGUGAUCGGCCACACUGGAACUGAGACACGGUCCAGACUCCUACGGGAGGCAGCAGUAGGGAAUCUUCCGCAAUGGGCGAAAGCCUGACGGAGCAACGCCGCGUGAGUGAUGAAGGUCUUCGGAUCGUAAAACUCUGUUAUUAGGGAAGAACAUAUGUGUAAGUAACUGUGCACAUCUUGACGGUACCUAAUCAGAAAGCCACGGCUAACUACGUGCCAGCAGCCGCGGUAAUACGUAGGUGGCAAGCGUUAUCCGGAAUUAUUGGGCGUAAAGCGCGCGUAGGCGGUUUUUUAAGUCUGAUGUGAAAGCCCACGGCUCAACCGUGGAGGGUCAUUGGAAACUGGAAAACUUGAGUGCAGAAGAGGAAAGUGGAAUUCCAUGUGUAGCGGUGAAAUGCGCAGAGAUAUGGAGGAACACCAGUGGCGAAGGCGACUUUCUGGUCUGUAACUGACGCUGAUGUGCGAAAGCGUGGGGAUCAAACAGGAUUAGAUACCC
This 804-nucleotide ribosomal RNA is filed under the name Staphylococcus aureus. RNAcentral describes it as "bacterial SSU rRNA". It matches the Rfam family "Bacterial small subunit ribosomal RNA", at positions 1 to 787 of the family's 1533-position model. The record is from RNAcentral. RNAcentral also lists the same sequence under 1 other name. Lineage: Bacteria; Bacillati; Bacillota; Bacilli; Caryophanales; Staphylococcaceae.